Molecule: ribosomal RNA, 400 nt
Filed under: phytoplankton environmental sample
Lineage: Eukaryota
Description: partial small subunit ribosomal RNA
Rfam family: Eukaryotic small subunit ribosomal RNA
Source: RNAcentral
AGCUCCAAUAGCGUAUAUUAAAUUUGUUGCAGUUAAAAAGCUCGUAGUUGGAUUUUUGGUCGAGGCAGUCGGUCCUACACUUUUGUGAAGGCACCUGACAGCCUCGUCCUUUGUUGGGUGGAACCCAUGUGGCAUUAAGUUGUCGUGUGGGGGAUGCUCAUCUUUUACUGUGAAAAAAUUAGAGUGUUCAAAGCAGGCUUAUGCCGAUGCAUAUAUUAGCAUGGAAUAAUAAGAUAGGACCUUGGUACUAUUUUGUUGGUUUGCGCAUCAAGGUAAUGAUUAAUAGGGACAGUUGGGGGUAUUUGUAUUCCAUUGUCAGAGGUGAAAUUCUUGGAUUUUUGGAAGACAAACUACUGCGAAAGCAUUUACCAAGGAUGUUUUCAUUAAUCAAGAACGAAAG